Citrus x clementina is the source of this 175-nucleotide microRNA precursor. It matches the Rfam family "mir-166 microRNA precursor family". From Rfam's summary of the family: This family represents the plant microRNA (miRNA) precursor mir-166. Animal miRNAs are transcribed as ~70nt precursors and subsequently processed by the Dicer enzyme to give a ~22nt product. Lineage: Eukaryota; Viridiplantae; Streptophyta; Magnoliopsida; Sapindales; Rutaceae. The record is from Rfam.
UUUGAGGGGAAUGUUGUCUGGCUCGAGGCCACUAACUAGAUCUUUGAUUUAAUCUCAGUUGAUCAUAUAUUUGUUUCAUUUUUCUUCCAUAAAAUUUAAUUAUAUUGAGAUACCCAUCAUUGAUCUUAAGAUAAUUAAGUUAGUGACGUCGGACCAGGCUUCAUUCCCCCCCAAU